UCAGUCUGCAAAGCUAGGUGAAAAUAAGGCUGCUUGUCAUGGUUGACUGGGGAGAAGUCAUUACAGUUUUUAGAAGAUGUCCUGCAGACUGUUGUUCCUUCAAGUGGUUCUUCUCUUCCUUAUGUUUCUACAAGACAGCAGUGAUGCUGGAGUUGAUGGGGAAAAUACUGAGAAGGAGUUUGCUGGCAGCAUGAAAAACUUGACUGAAUAAUGAAACACAGUAUUUGGAAGCAUCUACUCGAUAAAAGCCCCAGAGUUACUUACAAGUCUCCUCAACCCUGAAUGGAUGCCUUUGGGUACAGCUGACAAGGCUGCAGUGCUGUGAGCCAAGGCGCGCUUGCCACCAAGCUUACAUCGGAAAUCCACGGACUUUGGCUAAGCUAAGGGAGCACCGGCACAAAUUGUCAUGGGUAAAACUAAUCCACAAAGUAUUUGGAAAAUAUGUGACACCUGAGCUGUUGGAUAAAAGCAAGAUCCUACAUGUGAUUACUUAGAAAAAAAUAUUGUGGUAGAACAAAAGUUUUUGAUACUCUAACAAAACUUAUUUCUUGCUUGGAAGCCCGCAUCAGCAAACACAUUUUUCUUCAUUGUUGACAUAUACUGAAAAUUAUAUAUGUGUGUGUGAAUUCUGGUUAUUGUUCUUGUAAUUAGCAUAAAGUAAACAAGAACAGUAAUUAUUAUUAUUAUUAAGAAACUGAUGGGUUAGAAUGCAUUUUUCUUGUUUGUGAGCAUGAUCUGUAAGACUGCACAAAAUAAUGACAAUAGUGUCACCUCAGAAAGGUGAGCUGGUUUCUCAGCAGGCAUAGGGGAGGAUGGAGAGGGCUCUAUGGUUUGAUUUCAUCUCACUGAAAACUGGAGAGCUGUGGAUUUUAUAUGGCCAGAGCUCGGCAGAACAGAGCUUUGUCUUGAUAACUCAAAAUGACUAGAUCAUGCCUGGUAGCUGGUCCUGGAAACCUGACCCUUGUCACAGGCUGACUACAUCAAUUUGCAGUAGAUUGAUGAUGUAUAGACUGUGGGUGCCCCAGGGGAGACCUAAGAAAGGCCUGAGAAACAUUGUAUUGUUAAUCCAUACCCCUCAUUAGCUUCUGCUGUGCUGGAUUUCAACUCGCUGGCAAGGCUAGAGGAGCUGGAGGGAAAAUGUGGCGUUGUCUGGCAUUGUUAUUGUUGGUUGCCUUUUGAAAGAAAGGAUGUUUUAAAAUACCUUUUCUCCAAAGUUUAAUAUAUCAAAAACUGUCAGGAUUCUUUAUUUUCCUCUCUAUCCCUCUUGUCAAGUGCCUGGAAUUCCUAGAUUUUCUUUGUAUAUUGAUUUAGCGCUCUCCCCUCAACAGCCCAAGCUUUAUCUCUUCCCGAUAAGAGUCUCUCUAUAUCCUUUCCCAAGUAGUGGCAGGCAAAUUAUAUACGCUGAAAUCGAUUUACAUUUUGCAAUCAUUCCUCAGUCCUGGCUCUGGGGUGCCCAUAGAGGCUGCAGCCCUGCCUUCAGGGCUCCUUUAUGCGCUUUUAUGGACGUGUUGCUUAACCAUUUCUGCUCAGUGCACUGCAAGGUUUUGAUUUGAAGGAGGCUAUAGUUUCAAACGCGGUUUCCAUCAAACAGUAACAUCUUUGUCAAACUUCAACAGAAUUAACCUUAACUGCCAAGGAAGUUUUGACUGCCAUCAUAAAAAUGUUUGAUUAGUGUUAAUAAUUUAUUAAAUUGGUUUGUCCUGACACUGCCAACAUGUUGGAAAUCCCUCAACCAUUAAAACAUUAACAGAGACUGUAAUACAAUGCUUCUUCUGUUCUACAUUUUAUUUCAAGACCACAUUCUUAUGAGCCUGGUUCUGUGGUGUUCCAAUAUGCUCUCAUUAGGACUGCAUUAAAAGAUGAAAUAUGACAAAUAUUAAAAAGCGUGGGAAUAUAGAGUAAAGCAUGGUGGGUGUACUUUUGUGGGCAACCCUGCUGCAAUUAAAUUUUUGCAAAGCAAGUCUGUUUUUGCAAUAUGGGGAAAUAAAAUUACCAGGCAAGUAUUUCACUGAAACAGACCCAAUAUGUUCAAUUGUUUCAUCCAACCUCCUAAAAUACAUAAGCUUAGUUAGAAUUUCUACUAAAAUGGGAAAGCUGAUAUUGGACCUGCUUAUU
Molecule: long non-coding RNA, 2115 nt
Organism: Passer domesticus (house sparrow)
Lineage: Eukaryota; Metazoa; Chordata; Aves; Passeriformes; Passeridae
Exons: 3
Source: RefSeq, a predicted model, not a curated record